Molecule: unclassified non-coding RNA, 280 nt
Filed under: Helotiales sp.
Lineage: Eukaryota; Fungi; Ascomycota; Leotiomycetes; Helotiales
Description: partial contains 5.8S ribosomal RNA, internal transcribed spacer 2, and large subunit ribosomal RNA
Rfam family: 5.8S ribosomal RNA (bases 1-71)
Source: RNAcentral
GUGAGUCAUCGAAUCUUUGAACGCACAUUGCGCCCCUUGGUAUUCCGAGGGGCAUGCCCGUUCGAGCGUCAUUAUAACCCCUCAAGCCUAGCUUGGUGUUGGGGCCUGCUGUUACCGGCAGCCCUUAAAAUCAGUGGCGGUGUCAUCUGGCUCUAAGCGUAGUAAUACUUCUCGCUACAGGGUCCCGGUGGAUGCUUGCCAUCAACCCCUAAUUUUCUAUGGUUGACCUCGGAUCGGGUAGGGAUACCCGCUGAACUUAAGCAUAUCAAUAAGCGGAGGA